AUUGAACGCUGGCGGCAGGCCUAACACAUGCAAGUCGAGCGGAUGAAGGGAGCUUGCUCCUGGAUUCAGCGGCGGACGGGUGAGUAAUGCCUAGGAAUCUGCCUGGUAGUGGGGGAUAACGUCCGGAAACGGGCGCUAAUACCGCAUACGUCCUGAGGGAGAAAGUGGGGGGUCUUCGGACCUCACGCUAUCAGAUGAGCCUAGGUCGGAUUAGCUAGUUGGUGGGGUAAAGGCCUACCAAGGCGACGAUCCGUAACUGGUCUGAGAGGAUGAUCAGUCACACUGGAACUGAGACACGGUCCAGACUACUACGGGAGGCAGCAGUGGGGAAUAUUGGACAAUGGGCGAAAGCCUGAUCCAGCCAUGCCGCGUGUGUGAAGAAGGUCUUCGGAUUGUAAAGCACUUUAAGUUGGGAGGAAGGGCAGUAAGUUAAUACCUUGCUGUUUUGACGUUACCAACAGAAUAAGCACCGGCUAACUUCGUG
RNAcentral lists this ribosomal RNA (484 nucleotides) under uncultured bacterium. Its description in RNAcentral is "partial 16S ribosomal RNA". It matches the Rfam family "Bacterial small subunit ribosomal RNA", at positions 30 to 507 of the family's 1533-position model. The record is from RNAcentral.